GUGGAUGGAACCUGUGAUUUGCUUCUAACUAGUAGAAUUUGGCAAAAAAUGAUGAGAUAUAUGUGAUUAUGUUUACAUGAUUAUAUUAUAUACGAUUCUGAGUACAUUGAGCUGCAUAGAGAGAGCACGGGGGCAAGUGAGAGCCAGGUGGGCACUGGAAAGCUCUGUGCCUCACUGAGGAAAAAUAACUAAACAUGGGCAAAAGAGAUCCAUGGAACCUGAGAGGCAAAGUGUUAUUAUAUGCAUUCUUUGGCAAACUUGUCAGGAGGCGCAUAAGAAGAAGCACCCAGAUGGUUCAGUCAACUUCUCAGUUUUCUAGGAAGUGCUCAGAGAGGUGCAAGACCAUGUCUGUGCUUCUGGCUUUAGCACGUGGGUCCCUGACUCCAGCUUUACUCUUUUUUUUUUUUUUUUUGAGACGGAGUCUCACUCUGUCACCCAGGCUGG
Molecule: long non-coding RNA, 444 nt
Filed under: Pan troglodytes (chimpanzee)
Lineage: Eukaryota; Metazoa; Chordata; Mammalia; Primates; Hominidae
Description: long non-coding RNA NONPTRT014043
Source: RNAcentral